This 89-nucleotide transfer RNA is filed under the name Massilia glaciei. Its description in RNAcentral is "tRNA-Ile". It matches the Rfam family "tRNA". From Rfam's summary of the family: Transfer RNA (tRNA) molecules are approximately 80 nucleotides in length. Lineage: Bacteria; Pseudomonadati; Pseudomonadota; Betaproteobacteria; Burkholderiales; Oxalobacteraceae. The record is from RNAcentral.
UCCAGAGUGGUCGAGUGGCUGAAGGCGCCCGCCUGAUAAGCGGGUGAACGGUGGAAGCCGUUUCGCGGGUUCGAAUCCCGUCUCUUCUU